AAGAAGGUGUUCGAAUGGAAAGCUCUGUGCCUAUGGGGAAGAAGAAAGACGGUACCAUAGAAGAAAGCCCCGGCUAACUACGUGCCAGCAGCCGCGGUAAUACGUAGGGGGCGAACGUUAUCCGGAAUGAUUGGGCGUAAAGGGUACGUAGGCGGACCUGUAAGUCAGGUGUGAAAGGCAUGGGCUCAACCCAUGUAAGCACUUGAAACUGCGGGCCUUGAGGGAAGGAGAGGUAAGUGGAAUUCCUAGUGUAGCGGUGAAAUGCGUAGAUAUUAGGAGGAAUACCGGUGGCGAAGGCGACUUACUGGACUUUUACUGACGCUGAGGUACGAAAGCGUGGGGAGCAAACAGGAUUAGAUACCCUGGUAGUCCACGCCGUAAAUGGUGAGUGCUAGGUGUCGGGGAGUCAAAUCUCGGUGCCGACGUUAACACAUUAAAGCACUCCGCCUGGGGAGUACGCACGCAAGUGUGAAACUCAAAGGAAUUGACGGGGGACCCGCACAAGCAGCGGAGCAUGUGGUUUAAUU
RNAcentral lists this ribosomal RNA (527 nucleotides) under Peptostreptococcus sp. oral taxon 113. RNAcentral describes it as "bacterial SSU rRNA". It matches the Rfam family "Bacterial small subunit ribosomal RNA", at positions 408 to 951 of the family's 1533-position model. Lineage: Bacteria; Bacillati; Bacillota; Clostridia; Peptostreptococcales; Peptostreptococcaceae. The record is from RNAcentral.